RNAcentral lists this long non-coding RNA (377 nucleotides) under Junco hyemalis (dark-eyed junco). Its description in RNAcentral is "lncRNA (ENSJHYG00000017702.1)". The record is from RNAcentral. Lineage: Eukaryota; Metazoa; Chordata; Aves; Passeriformes; Passerellidae.
GGCUACCCUACCUCACCUGGAGACACUUUUCCUUGGAGGUUCCAUGAUGGAGGGCUCCUCACUGCACCUGAGCUGCUUCUUUCCUGAAUUGCAGUCACACCAGUUCUGCUUUCCUGACUGCAGAGUCACAGCAGCUGUGGUGCAGCAGAGCAUCUGAAAAGAAAAUGCUAAUGGGGGUUUUUAUAGAGUACAGUAAAAGGCUCUGAUUUAAAAAAAAAAUAAUGCUACACCUCAAUGCUACCUCUAGCCCAGACUACUGCUUCUUGAGAGUUUCCUUCUAGAGACUGCAGUAGCUAAGCAGAAUCCAUAACCUCAUGUGCCAUCUCCCUGCCUGUCAUAACCACAGGCAAAGCUGGGUUAGUAAUUUUCUUUUGAGG